UGCAGAUGCCUUGGCAAAAUGAAGAAAAUGCUGUAGACUGUGCCAUAUACUCGAUGAGGCAUAUGCAGACUUACACAGGCACAUCAAUAGAAGACUGGAAUGCAGGACUCACUGGAGGCCCUGAAGAUAAUACAUUCCUCACAUCACUGAGAGCUAAAUAUGCCGCAACCAUACUCAUGUCAGAAUGGAAUACCCUUCUACCAGAGGUGACAAAUGCAGCCAAAGAAAUCUACAAACAAUCAAAGUGACCGUGUUUGUAAAGAUGUUGAUUCCUGUAAACUGAAA
Ipomoea triloba (trilobed morning glory) is the source of this 285-nucleotide long non-coding RNA. RefSeq lists it as uncharacterized. The record is from RefSeq and is a predicted model, not a curated record. NCBI's taxonomy places the organism in Eukaryota, Viridiplantae, Streptophyta, Magnoliopsida, Solanales, Convolvulaceae. The transcript has 2 exons.